Non-coding RNA from Pelobates cultripes (western spadefoot toad), 332 nucleotides. NCBI's taxonomy places the organism in Eukaryota, Metazoa, Chordata, Amphibia, Anura, Pelobatidae. The record is from the annotation of a GenBank genome assembly.
CUCAGGGGCAACAAGUCACAUGACAAGUGAUGAAACGUUUUUCACAGAAAUUGAUUACAGUGCAAAAGACAAAGUCUUCCUAGCAAAUGGGGAAAGUAUUACAGCGGAAGGUAACGGUCAAGGAUUUCUGAAUUGCAUCACACCGUCAGGGGGUAAGCAAAGUAUCCUUAUAAAGAAUGUUCUGUAUGUUCCAUGUCUAGAAGGAAGCCUCCUACCAGUAAAAACCCUUGCUAAAAAUGGACUCACAGUUAAGUUCUGAUGCAAUGAAUGCACAAUUCGAAAUAGAAAACAAAUCCUAGCAAAAGGAAGGUUGAAUGAACACCUGUAAAAAC